Molecule: ribosomal RNA, 435 nt
Filed under: uncultured bacterium
Lineage: Bacteria
Description: partial 16S ribosomal RNA
Rfam family: Bacterial small subunit ribosomal RNA
Source: RNAcentral
AACGAACGCUGGCGGCAUGCCUAACACAUGCAAGUCGAACGAUUGCCUUCGGGUGAUAGUGGCGCACGGGUGCGUAACGCGUGGGAAUCUGCCCUUAGGUUCGGAAUAACAGCUGGAAACGGCUGCUAAUACCGGAUGAUAUCGCGAGAUCAAAGAUUUAUCGCCUGAGGAUGAGCCCGCGUUGGAUUAGGUAGUUGGUGGGGUAAAGGCCAACCAAGCCGACGAUCCAUAGCUGGUCUGAGAGGAUGAUCAGCCACACUGGGACUGAGACACGGCCCAGACUCCUACGGGAGGCAGCAGUGGGGAAUAUUGGACAAUGGGCGCAAGCCUGAUCCAGCAAUGCCGCGUGAGUGAUGAAGGCCCUAGGGUUGUAAAGCUCUUUUACCCGGGAAGAUAAUGACUGUACCGGGAGAAUAAGCCCCGGCUAACUCCGUG